This 252-nucleotide ribosomal RNA is filed under the name uncultured bacterium. Its description in RNAcentral is "partial 16S ribosomal RNA". It matches the Rfam family "Bacterial small subunit ribosomal RNA", at positions 524 to 776 of the family's 1533-position model. The record is from RNAcentral.
UACGUAGGGACCAAGCGUUGUUCGGAUUUACUGGGCGUAAAGGGCGCGUAGGCGGCGUGACAAGUCACUUGUGAAAUCUCUGGGCUUAACCCAGAACGGCCAAGUGAAACUGUUGUGCUAGAGUGCAGAAGGGGCAAUCGGAAUUCUCGGUGUAGCGGUGAAUGCGUAGAUAUCGAGAGGAACACCAGAGGUGAAGACGGGUUGCUGGGCUGACACUGACGCUGAGGCGCGAAAGCCAGGGGAGCAAACGGG